RNAcentral lists this transfer RNA (68 nucleotides) under Marmota monax (woodchuck). Its description in RNAcentral is "tRNA.Gly". The record is from RNAcentral. Lineage: Eukaryota; Metazoa; Chordata; Mammalia; Rodentia; Sciuridae.
GGAUUGUGGCUCAGAGGUAGAUAGCUCGCCUACCAUGCGUGAGGCCCUGGGUUUGAUCCUCAGCACCA